Molecule: ribosomal RNA, 78 nt
Filed under: Escherichia coli
Lineage: Bacteria; Pseudomonadati; Pseudomonadota; Gammaproteobacteria; Enterobacterales; Enterobacteriaceae
Source: RNAcentral
UCUGGCGGCAGUAGUGCGGUGGUCCCACCUGACCCCAUGCCGAACUCAGAAGUGAAACGCCGUAGCGCCGAUGGUAGU